AUGUUAGAAGAUUCAGAUUUUACAGCAACUGUACCAAAAUUGGAAAUUCUUAUUUCUGUGUUUGUUGCCCAGGUGUACGUUUCUGUUUUGAAUUCCCACUCCCAUUUGUUGAACUCUGUGCAGAGUCUCAAGUAUUCUUUAGCUACGAGGCUCUUUCUGAAGCUGAAGUUUUCAUGCUUUACUGAAGUCCAUAGGUUUGCCAUUCACUCUUUAAAAUCCAAGACAUUAGCAGAUGACUCACAGUUUCUCAGCAGUUGGAUGAUGUGUUUCUUGAGCUCAUAUACAGCCUCACUGUAGCCUGCACUGACUGGUGCCAUUGGUGGGUUUCCAUUCCAGAGUCCAGGAAUGUACUAGUUCCCAGUGUCUGGACUGUACUCCAUCACAUCAGUGAAGCUCUUGUUCUCCUCUUUCUUUUCCAUUUUGGCUGCUGCCUGGGUCAUCUCAUUUAACUGUUCCAGGAGCAGUUUCCUGUCUGACUGACUGCAAACUGCACUCCAAACAUGGUGUUAAGGAGAGUGGACUUUCCUGUGCUCUGAACUCCAAGAACUGUGACUACCAGUAUCUUUCUGUUUGGAGACACCAAGUCACUGAGCUGAGAGAGAACAUCACUCACCCAUCUGAGAGGGAUGUUGGAUGCAUCUCCAUCUACAAGCUCAAGAGGAAAUCCAUCAAGCAACAACUCUGCACAAAGUUUGGGCAGAUGCUGCAACUGAUGUGCUGUAGGUUAGCUACAGUCACUGGCUGACUGAAAAUAUCAAUGUUUGCUUUUCCACAAGGAAGAUACCAAGUAAUUUCAAUCAGUCCAUUGGAUAUUCUUCUUGGACUGUCACCACACUCCAUGUUGUGGUGAACAAAGGUGUCAUGGUACUGCUGAGAAUUGCUCAGAACCUUAUUGAGAAUCUCUGACUUGGACAAGGAGCACUCACCCAGUCUGACAAAAGAGAUCAUUGGAAGUUCAGAGAGAACGAUUCUGUCUUCAAUGAAGCCCUUGGAUUCUGACAGAGACUGAGGUCUGUACAGACCUCUGUACUCGCCUCUGUCAGUGCGCCCCAGGGUGGCUGUGGCUACAAUGUAGCUUACCGUCACCAGUGUGUGAAUGUGUGUGUGAAUGGGUGGAUGACUGAACGUGUAAAGCGCUAUACAAAUACAGGCCAUUUACCAUUUUUAACAAUGUCUCUCAUGGCCCACAGCAUGAGUGUGCACUGUUUUGUGUCAUGAUUGGAAAGCAGCAAAGGAACAGAGAACUGACACAUGGACAUUUUGAGUGCCAUUUCCUGCUGUACAAAACCAUCAGAACACAGAAAGAGAGGAGUGAUUAUGUCAAGAGGGUUUAGCAUGUCAGCUGUGUUUAGGCCAUCAAGCAGAUUGUCAUUAUCUAAUUCUGUACUCCCAGAUUUAUCAUUAA
This 1405-nucleotide long non-coding RNA is filed under the name Oreochromis niloticus (Nile tilapia). RNAcentral describes it as "lncRNA (ENSONIG00000034699.1)". The record is from RNAcentral. Lineage: Eukaryota; Metazoa; Chordata; Actinopteri; Cichliformes; Cichlidae.